RNAcentral lists this ribosomal RNA (460 nucleotides) under uncultured bacterium. RNAcentral's name for it is "partial 16S ribosomal RNA". It matches the Rfam family "Bacterial small subunit ribosomal RNA", at positions 338 to 795 of the family's 1533-position model. The record is from RNAcentral.
CCUACGGGAGGCAGCAGUGAGGAAUAUUGGUCAAUGGGCGGAAGCCUGAACCAGCCAAGUCGCGUGAGGGAAUAAGGCCCUACGGGUCGUAAACCUCUUUUGCCGGGGAGCAAGGGCGGGGACGUGUCCCGGCCCGGAGAGUACCCGGAGAAAAAGCAUCGGCUAACUCCGUGACAGCAGCCGCGGUAAUACGGAGGAUGCGAGCGUUAUCCGGAUUUAUUGGGUUUAAAGGGUGCGUAGGCGGGCUUUUAAGUCAGCGGUAAAAAUUCGGGGCUCAACCCCGUCCGGCCGUUGAAACUGGGGGCCGUGAGUGGGCGAGAAGAGGGCGGAAUGCGUGGUGUAGCGGUGAAAUGCAUAGAUAUCACGCAGAACCGCGAUUGCGAAGGCAGCCUUCCGGCGCCCUCCUGACGCUGGGGCACGAAAGUGCGGGGAUCGAACAGGAUUAGAUACCCCUGUAGUC